Long non-coding RNA from Amblyraja radiata (thorny skate), 117 nucleotides. RefSeq lists it as uncharacterized. NCBI's taxonomy places the organism in Eukaryota, Metazoa, Chordata, Chondrichthyes, Rajiformes, Rajidae. The transcript is spliced from 3 exons. The record is from RefSeq and is a predicted model, not a curated record.
GGAAACCGGAGCACCCGGAGAAAACCAACACAAGUCACAGGAACGUACAAACUGAACAAACUGCACCCGUAGUUAGGAUCAAACCCAGGUCUCUGGGGCUGUAAGACAGCAACUGUA